ACGGCUCAGUAACACGUGGGUAACCUACUCUCAGGUCGGAGAUAACUCCGGGAAACUGGAGCUAAUAUCCGCUAGAUAUGGGAAUCUGGAAUGAUUCUGUAUCGAAAGUUCCGACGCCUGAGAAUGGGCCUGCGGCUGAUUAGGUAGUUGGUGGGGUAAUGGCCCACCAAGCCUACGAUCGGUACGGGCAGUGAGAGCUGGAGCCCGGAGAUGGGGACUGAGACAAGGCCCCAGGCCCUACGGGGCGCAGCAGGUGCGAAAACUCGCCAAUGCUCGAAAGAGUGAGCGGGGAACCCCAAGUGCCCUUGUAUUGCAAGGGCUUUUAUUUGGUGUUAGGAGCCAGAGGAAUAAGGGCUGGGUAAGACUGGUGCCAGCCGCCGCGGUAACACCAGCAGCCCGAGUGGUCGCCGUUUUUAUUGGGCUUAAAGCGUCCGUAGCCGGAUAGAUUAGUCUCUAGGUAAAUCUUACGUUCAAGCGUAAGCCUUCUAGAGAUACUGUCUAUCUUGAGGCCGGGAGAGGUUGGAGGUACUCCCGGGGUAGGGGUAAAAUCCUGUAAUCCUGGGGGGACCACCGGUGGCGAAGGCGUCCAACUGGAACGGGCCUGACGGUGAGGGACGAAACCCAGGGGAGCGAGCCGGAUUAGAUACCCGGGUAGUCCUGGGCGUAAAUCAUGCGGACUAGGUGUGGGGAUAUCCACGAGAUAUCUCUGUGCCGAAGGGAAGCCAUUAAGUCCGCCGCCUGGGGAGUACGGCCGCAAGGCUGAAACUUAAAGGAAUUGGCGGGGGAGCACCACAAGGGGUGGAGGCUGCGGUUUAAUUGGAUUCAACGCCGGG
Molecule: ribosomal RNA, 833 nt
Filed under: uncultured archaeon
Lineage: Archaea
Description: bacterial SSU rRNA
Rfam family: Archaeal small subunit ribosomal RNA
Source: RNAcentral